RNAcentral lists this ribosomal RNA (312 nucleotides) under uncultured bacterium. RNAcentral's name for it is "bacterial SSU rRNA". It matches the Rfam family "Bacterial small subunit ribosomal RNA", at positions 1 to 334 of the family's 1533-position model. The record is from RNAcentral.
CUAGCGACUUCAGUAGUUUGAUCCUGGCUCGGAGCGAACGCUGGCGGCAGGCUUAACACAUGCAAGUCGAGCGGGCGUAGCAAUACGUCAGCGGCAGACGGGUGAGUAACACGUGGGAACGUACCUUUUGGUUCGGAACAACUGAGGGAAACUUCAGCUAAUACCGGAUAAGCCCUAACGGGGAAAGAUUUAUCGCCGAAAGAUCGGCCCGCGUCUGAUUAGCUAGUUGGUGAGGUAAUGGCUCACCAAGGCGACGAUCAGUAGCUGGUCUGAGAGGAUGAUCAGCCACACUGGGACCGAGACACGGCCCAG